Molecule: long non-coding RNA, 115 nt
Organism: Ipomoea nil (Japanese morning glory)
Lineage: Eukaryota; Viridiplantae; Streptophyta; Magnoliopsida; Solanales; Convolvulaceae
Exons: 3
Source: RefSeq, a predicted model, not a curated record
AUUUAAUUCGUUUAAUUUUAGUUUAUAAAUUGCAUAGUAUCAAUUCUUUGUGGGUUCAACCCUUGCUAUUGCACACUAUCACUACAACUGAUUCGUGCACUUGCGAGGACUAUAU